ACAGAAACAGAUUUCAUAUUGGAAAAAGACAAGUGCCCAAGUCUGUAAUGCCACACAAUAUCCUUUUUAUUCACUUUAUUAGUAUGUGCAUCAGUGGCUACUUCGGUAUGAUCAAUAGACAAGCUUGCAUGACUACUAGGUGCGCUAGAAAAUUCAGUAGAGGAAGGAUUACAAGGAAUUGGUAAAGUAGCAUGACAAUACAAAGGACCAGAAUUUAUAGGAAGUUAAAACAACUUGUAAAGCCCAUUGUCUGGUCUACCAAGAACCACUGACUUCUCAAUGAAGGGCCCUGUAGAGUACAUACAAUGUUGGUAAAUUGGAAUUAUAUCACCUGGUUUCUCAACUAACUUAUAAACAGAAAUGAGAUUGUGUUGAAAGCUAGGGACAUAAAGACAUUAUGAUGGGUAAGAUCAUGGGACAACGUUAAUGAAGCAAUAUUUGUUACUCUAACUUUAUAACCAUUAGGAAGAGAAAAUUAAGUAAAGAAUGGGUAGAGUCUGAAUGUCAAAGAGAAGGGACUUAUCAAAGGUCAUAUAGUCAGAUGCCCCAGACUCUAUGAUCCAAAUAGUAUUCUCUAUUUUAGUAAGUAACAAGUUCUGAACAAACCAUUCUCAAGCAACAACUUGCCAGCAAAAUUAGCAGAAGCCAAAAGAUAUGGAGUAGCAGGAGAAGCAGAAAUGUGAGACUGUUUAAGCAGAGUGAUCAACUGGGAGUAUUGAUCCUUAGUCAACCCAGGCAAAGUGUAAAGCUGCUCAGAUUCAGUAUGCAUGAUAAGACGACCAACAUUUCCAGUCUCAUCAUAGUUAACAUGGGAUUAAACCUCAACAUGUGCUACAGUUCUCCUAGGUGUAUUACUUUUAGUGAAUUUAAGAUUCUAAGGAAAACCAUGCAAUGUGUAUCACUUUUCAAUAGAAUGACCUGGUUUCUUACACUACUUGCAAAAGAUAGAAGGCCUUUGAUUGUUUGGUCUUUGAGGAUUGGAAUUCACUUACAGGGGAAGAGUGUUUGGACACUCCAGCAUUAAAGAAAGCAGAGUUAGAGUUUGAAGGAAACUGAGAAAUGGAGGAUACUUCCCAUUGUUUCUCAUCACUUAGUAGAAUCCUAUAUAAACUGUACUCAUAGAUGGAAGGGGCUUUAUCAUCAAGAUAUUGCUUCUGACUUGGAGGUAAGUCUCAUUGAGUCCCAUUAAGAAUUGGUAUACCUUCUGCUCUUCCUUAGCAUUUUUAUUUGCCCCACAUGUGCAUACAGAGAGGUGAUUAACAGAAAUGGAAGCCAUUUCAUCCCGAAGUUGUUUUAUUUUGAAAUAGGAGGCUAUGCCCGAAUGACCCUGAGAAAUGUGAGAUAAUUCCUUCUUAAGUUCAAAAAUUCUAGCAGCAUCAGCCAUACCAUCUCUUUCCUCUAACUCAUGCCAAAUGUAUUUGGCCAGUUCUAAAUACUCAAUAUUAUGAGAAAUCUCCUUGGUGAAAGAAUUGUUCAGUCAAGACACAACCAAAUCAUUACAACGUUGCCAUUGCCUGACUAGAGUGGAACCAAUAGGUGGUUUUUCAGUAAUGCUAUUUAUAAAGUCCAAUUUAUUGCGUACAGAUAGAGACAUAGAAUAUUUCGGUGCCAACUUCCAUAGCUAGAGCCAUCAAAAGGAGUGGAAAAUAGAAAGGCUCCUAAAAUAUAGGAUGGAUGUACAUAAAGAGGAUGGCACGGGUGAGUAUAGUCAUUAGGAUGAAAAGCAGUAUGACGAGAGGAAGAAAAGUUUCCUCUGUCAGCAAUAGGGAGUAGCAAUGCAGGGAGGAGUAGUCGUCAUAGCGAAUGAAAGGCAAAUCCCGCACAAUAUCAAACAGAACAACAACAACAACUUAAGAAUAACAAAAUAGCUAAUUGACUUUAUAGCUCACAAAUCUCGAUGAACAAUCAAAAAUAGACAAUGAAAGAGAUAGGGUUACCAAUAUCUUCGCGACCGAAAGGAGACGGCCUUCUAGAAGAAAUAGAAAAACCUUAAUCUUCAAAAUGAGCUCCAAUGAGAAACCCUAACACACAGAUGAACUUAGUCAGAUGGAAAUCGACGAUCAAACCCUAGAUAUCCGAACAAUUCCAAUCGACGCAGAGAUUCUCAUGAUUUGACGAAGAAUCUCACAAUUUGUGAAGCAUCUAGGACCUUCGAACCUCAAAUAGAAAGACAAAAGACAUAAUUUGAAAGGAAAAAAAUUAUCUUAGGUGCGAAAUUGAGAAGAUCUGAGUGAAGGAUUACGAGCUCAGAAUAAGAAAGGGAUUGAAGGACCAGAUUUGAUGCUUCACCCUCUGAUACCACGUUAGAAAUGCAAACUCAUGCUUGAAUUAAGCAACCAUGGCUGAAAUUUACACUUAGCUCAGAGAGAGUUCUCAAAAUAAAAUGUUCUAGAAGAAGUGCUCUUGUUGUUCUCUGUACAAAAAUGACCCGCCUAUAUCCUAA
This 2443-nucleotide long non-coding RNA is filed under the name Nicotiana benthamiana. RNAcentral's name for it is "long non-coding RNA (NBEN_LNC010833)". Lineage: Eukaryota; Viridiplantae; Streptophyta; Magnoliopsida; Solanales; Solanaceae. The record is from RNAcentral.